CGCCUCGGGAGCCAGGCGGAAUGCGUGCGAAUGGAAAUUUUGUCCCCCGAUUGCGUCAUGUACGAAAUGCGCAAGAGAAAAGUGCGAUGCGAUUUCCCCCUGCAGAUUGGCUUCACGAUUUUAGAACUGAGUAAGUUAACCAUGUACUCGUUCUACUAUGAAACCCUGUUGAGUAAGCUCACUUGUCCGGUGAUUACGUGCUACUUUGACACGGAUUCUCUGAUCCUCGGCCUAUUCUGCAAGGACUAUGAAGAUCAGUUACGCGCGAUCGCCGACGACCAUUUAGAUUUGUCUUCCUUCGAUCGUGAUCAUCCACUGUACAGCGAGAGGAAUCGCGGUAGACUUGGCGCGUUCAAAAGUGAAACGGGUAGCGUACCCAUUGAGGAAGUAAUAUGCUUGAAAGCCAAAAUGUAUUCCAUCAAAUUAGCCGGGGGAAAACAAAUUGCAAGAGCUAAAGGGGUCAAAAAGAACAUUGUGCGCAAACACCUCCUCCAUGAUACGUACCGCGAUACCCUAUUCAAGCACGCUAGCGUAUCGCACGAACAGGUGUCAAUAGUGGGAAAGAAACAGUGCAUGUACACCAUCAGAAAUGUGAAAAGAAGUCUGAUGGCGUACGACGACAAACGAUACCUCUACAAUGACGUAGACUCCUACCCGUACGGAAGCUGCGAAUAUGAUAAUGCAGUGGAUGAGUAGGAGUAGCAUCAUUUGACCUGCGUCACUGGAAGGAUGUGGCACCUCGUUCUCUUCUCGCUCGUCUCGUGCGCGCUGGCGCUGGACGCUGGCAACUGUACUGCGAGCAUCAAGCUGGAGAAGGAUAAGCACACGUACGCGCACGAAUGCCCUGGCGACAUCUUGGCCAUCAGAGAGUGGCACGUGGUACCUAUGCGGUCCGGCAUUAACCUGGACAGGAACGCUACUCGAUCGCUGCGUACGUGCCUUCACUCGCUGGACGUGAGCGACAGCUACGAAGAUAUCCAGUGCACGCGGAUGUGCCAGCUCACGGAGGACGAAAUUUUUCUCAGCCGCUGUCCCGGAGACGUCUACAUGAUCCGUCACUUCCGUGGAACCAUGCCCAGCAUCAAAGGAAUCAAUCUCUCCAAGACCGCCAUGCUUUUUCUCAAACAUGUACUCAAUAAACGUUGAAAGGUA
Molecule: long non-coding RNA, 1152 nt
Organism: Ornithodoros turicata
Lineage: Eukaryota; Metazoa; Arthropoda; Arachnida; Ixodida; Argasidae
Exons: 2
Source: RefSeq, a predicted model, not a curated record